Long non-coding RNA from Peromyscus leucopus (white-footed mouse), 3101 nucleotides. RefSeq lists it as uncharacterized. NCBI's taxonomy places the organism in Eukaryota, Metazoa, Chordata, Mammalia, Rodentia, Cricetidae. The record is from RefSeq and is a predicted model, not a curated record. The transcript is spliced from 7 exons.
UUCAGGGCAAACACGAACCAGAGAAAGAAAUUUGAAGAGGGGAGAGGCUGUGUACUCCCAAAGCCCUCCCAUAGUGAUGCACUUCCUCCAGAAAGGCAACGCCUUCUCCUUCUCCCCAAUAGCACCACCGACUGGGAACCACGUGUUCAAAUGCUUGAGCCUCUGGGGGCCAUCUUCAUCCAGACAACCCAGGAACUUCCAUUGAAGGCUCAAAGGGGCAUAAAUAGGGUACAUCUUUGCUUUGGACGUUAUGCACAGGAGAUCUGCAGGUUUCCCGAUGGAGUCUGAGAAUGAGGCCUUUGCAACUUUCACAUUAUCGUACUAUAAAAUCCACCAGUGACUAUUUGUACUCGAGAUGGUGGAUACAGAUGAUUGGCGACUCAGAGGCUGAUGGACUGGAUCCUCACAAUCAUCGUGGACUCCGGGGCAUCUCUAAUCCAGGACUGAGCAGUUUGAACUCGCUGUUCAAUGGCACAUGAUUGUAUUUUUGCUCAAGAAGAAGAAGACACAGCCCAGCCGAUUCCAUGGAAAUUCAGAGAGGGCGGCCACAUGGGGGCAAUUUUAAUCCAGGCGAAGCGGAACCCAUGGAGCCCUGAAGAUUGUCAUUCAGUUUGGAAUGGAAUAACUUUGUAAUUUUCAAGAGACCAGCUUGUGAGAAAAACUGAAUUAAAAUGUGAUCCAGCAGAACCAGGCCUGACUGGCCACCUCGGGCACAGCGCUAACAUUUCCAGCUCUCUUUGCCUAGCUGCGUGCUUGAGGUUAUAUUUGGCACAGACGCACAGAGGACAAAGGAGGACCCAGACUCCAGCCUGUGGCUCGAGUCCCCCAGCCCGCACAGCCGUGUGUGCUCGCUCCCACCCACCGCCCCACAGAAGAGCUGCUGUGUGCUCAUCUGACUCUAAUUCCAGAGGAGAGGACAAGAUGUACUUUGAAUUGGAAUUUGACACUGACUGGGGACCACGGUGAGCCGCAAAGGUGACAAGCAUGGUCUGCUCAUUGACUCAAUCUGUGCAUUGGAACAACGAUGGCGUUUGGAAUUUCAGUUUCCCCACCCACCGAGCAGAGGGAUGGGAAGUGCAGUGUGUAUUACAUUUAUGUUCCUGUCCAGCGCUUCAUGCUCAAGGUGUCUGAGGUGGGGACAGGUCUGUGAUAAAAAUACACUUGUUGAAGAAAAAAAAAAGAUAGGAUUUCAAAAUUAGUUUUUUAAAUUGCUUCUGACAUUCGCUAGUCUCUAAGUUUUCUUUCAUUUGGAAAACCGAGACUGCCGUAGUUAGGAGACUAUGAAGAGUCAUGUUCUCAGCUUCAUGGAAAUCCUUUCCCAUCCUCUGCCCUGGUCAGCUGACGGGUAUUGGCUUAUUACCCAUUCUCUUCCAUUAUCAGCCCCCUUUAGAUUAAAGACCCGGAGAGGAGCUAUUUUAUUGUGAAAACCCCAGACUCAGGUGUAACACUGCAUGGGUAUCAGUGACAGCUCUUGGGGCCUGAUCCCAGGGCCACGUAGCCAUGAUAUAGUGUGAGUUCCUGCAAAUCCCCUGACCACAUGGGCAGAAACAUGCGACAUGGAGGCAUCGGAGCCUUCCAAAAAUAAGUGGGUGUGGCUAGCUCUAACUAGGUGUGUGCUUCUGAGGUUUGUGGGAGCCCCUUGGGGCAAGUGUUAAAAACUGAGAGUUGGAGCCAGCACAUUCUGGCUCCUUCCUCUCUGGUUCCGAGUUAAAAUAGCCUGAGGCUUGGCCGUGAGUUCUCCUUGUUUGCCCCUUCUCUUGUUCUGUGAGCUAUUGCUUAUUCUGUGUACUUAAAAAAAAAAAAUUGUAAAUAGAGUGCCUAAUGAAGUGUACUUUUAAAACCUCACACAGAGAUUCACUUCAUAGGAAUUUGUAGCUGUAUUUAAAUCUGACCCCACUUUUCUCCUUUCUCCUCUGCCUCAGCAGAGACCCCAACCCCCAGCCUCUCCUGUGUUGGUAGGAGAAAUUCCUACCUGGGUUUUCUCACAGUGAUGCAUGCUGAUAGGGUUACUAUCUCCAAUUUUGGUGAAGUUGGAAAUCACCAUUUAUUUCAUAGUUAGAAAAAAGCUAAUACACCUAGCGGGUUGAUGUCUCUUUGUGAGUAGAAAGUGUUGAAGAGAGGCUCCACUGCAAUUCGAUCUUAAAUGCUGGCAUAGUGUUCUGUCUCUCUUGGAUUUUCACUUCAGAGAAAGGGACCCUGCUUACGUUGUCUGCGCUGAGUGAGGACUCUGGUUUCCCGUAGUAACAUUCCUCUGGGCAGCAAGCACCGUUUAUCUCUCUGCAGUCUGUGGCUCAAGUCCUCCGGGUCCGAGAACAAGAAGAGCAUGGGUAGAAGAGGAUCGACGCCAGAAAAAUCUCUGGAGAUUCUCUAGACAGAUUCUCACACUUUAACUCUGUGUCUCUCUAAAAGGUGGUGGCCUCUUGUGGGACGACCUCAAGGACAGCACUCACUAACCUGAAAGGAUUAUGGUUCCAGAACACUGCUGGCUAGGGAAAGUUCAGAAGAACCAGAGCCCUUGAAGGACCUGAGCAAACUGCUUCGCUUGGGAGAGAGAAGAUUUGAACAUGAAAGUUAUGGUAUUUAAUUAACUUUAAGGUACAGGCAAUUGUCAGCUUCCUGGCAUUUUCCCCUUCAUGGUAAACACAGGAAUAAUAAACUUGGAGAGUUUGGGGCAACCGUGGCAGUAGGUGGGAGGGACCCCUACGUGAGAUUGGCGAGAACAAACAUUAAACAGCGUCUAAUUAUCAUAUGAGAAGAUUCCAAAGAAUCUUUUCACACAUCUUAGGGAGAAAUCUGAAAUUCUUUUCGGAACAUAAUGUUUUACAUGGCUCCCUGCCACCCCUAAGGAAGACAUUGUAACUCUGUCCUCUUCAGUCUUGAGAGUCACUACUGCAGAGAAAGACUAUUGGAAAGUGAUGUGCUACGGAAUGAUAGCUGAAUGCUAGCAGGAUUGAAUGUGUACAGUCAUUGAAAUUGUACUUAAAGAUGCAGGCAGUUCUUUCUUUUCCUGACAAUUUUAAUAUAACUUCAAAAUUUAUCAAAAAUGGUGAAGCUCUAAUGUGUAGAAGUGCUGUGGGGUUGGUCUGUCUGUCUGUCUCUCU